This is a long non-coding RNA of Rosa chinensis, 1338 nucleotides long. RefSeq lists it as uncharacterized. The transcript has 3 exons. The record is from RefSeq and is a predicted model, not a curated record. NCBI's taxonomy places the organism in Eukaryota, Viridiplantae, Streptophyta, Magnoliopsida, Rosales, Rosaceae.
GUCUCUUUGGCAGGACUCUCCACCCCGGGUUGGUGUCCAACUGGGCAUCUAAAAGCGCGUGCAUUACACGCGGCGUUUGUCUAACGCCUCACCCAAAAAACAGUAAAACUGCAGGUUGGAAAUUGCGGUGCGGAGGAGAUCAAAAAUUGCGGUGAACUCUAGAGUCGGAGCUGAAACUCUUUUUUGGGUCUCUGAGAAGAUUAAAUCUCAAGUGGAAGUCCGUCGAUCGAUCUCCCAGCCGAGUAGAUCAAAUCUAUCGCAGUUGGGAAUCAUCGGUUGUUUAUGGAUCUCAGUUGCUGCUUACGGCUCGAUUACUGCAUUUGUGGGAGUAUGCAAUAAGCAAUAGGGGAAGUGAGCUGCUUCAGCUGUUGUGAUGAAGAUGAUAUGCAUAAAGCAACUGACAAUGGAGGUGCUUACAUGAUGAACCUGCAAGUAAUGCUCACCAUCCUAUAGUCUAGGUCUUGUGUUGAAUCUUGGGAAUGUUUAAUUAUGCAAGCAUUUCACUGAUAUGAUCUAGCUUCUUAAGCAACAAAGAAUGUAUUCACUUAUCAUAAUCUUUAUUAAACUUAAUUAUUUAAUGUAAUCUUGAAUAGUUUUUUUUUAUGAGCUAAGAUUCUCAUAAAUGGAGACCAUCCAUGUACUUAUAAAAUGGUUGAUCAUCACCUUAAAAGACUAAAGUGGCGAACAUGCCAUAAUUUCUACUUUAUGAACACCAUCAUCUCAUUUGAUUGUAAAAUCUAGCUGAUUGAAAGUAAAUAAGCAUGAAAUUAGCUGUAACUGGAGGAGUAAAUUUGGACAUCACCAUCAUCCAGUUCACCAUAUAAUAAUCCCAUCUCUGUUGUGUGUCUAUGAUUAAUGAGAUUAAAGCUUAAAUUCAGGAAAUUUUGUUAAACAGCAACCAAUUAGGUUCCACAUGAGGUUCUUGCUGUUGCUGGUCAAAAACGUUUUCCAGAAAUUUUUUUUUUUUUUGUUUUUUUGUUUUUCACCAUGUAAUAAUGCUAUACAUACCGACGCAGUCAAGAAGUUGCCAAAUAUGGGGAUUACGGAUUGACCCGAAUAGAAUUUCAAUUUCUUUCACUUGGAAUCCCUCUAUCGAGCAAGGUCAUAAACAUAUCUGCUGCGUAUUUGAACGAUACGGACCUUGACAUAUGGUUUCUUCCAACUUAUUUUGCUGUAUGUAAUUUCAUGGUCUACUGUAGCGUGUAUAUAUAUUUUUAAAUGUUGAAAAGUUGCAUUUUAAUGUAUGGAGGAGCAUAUUGCCUUGUAUGACAAGAACGUGCUAGGUCACAUGAGGAAGCACAAGGUUAUGUUGACUUGCUUGAUUCAACCAUUUAUAUG